CUCCUGUGGAGUAAAGGUAAGCAUGUUUUAGUUUCUGGAGUAUUAUAUUAUACAUUGGAGCUAGACAUUUAAGACUCUUUGGGGGUGGAUUGGGAGACUCAUAUUACUGGCAGUGUUUGGCCAAUAAUCAAGGUGAUAGUUUUAAGCAUUGGGUCAUGUUCUGUAAGCUCCUGCUUAUCUAGACUUGAAGCUAUCACAAAGCCCAAACAGCCGGGAAACCCAGCUCUGUCUCCCUACCCCAAGUCUCAUGAGAAAGAGAUGAAAUUGUCAGCCAGUAUACUCGAAAAGAAUCAACAGACAAUGUCAUGGAAUGAAUCUUAAAUAUUUUCCCCCUUACAUUAUUAAAAAGUAAUGGGAUUUUAAAGCAUUGCAAGAUUCUGAAGUUCCAUGGAGAAAGGUGAAAAUCAUUUGAUGAGUUUAGUGUUGAUAAAGAAUUGUGAACGUGUAGUAAUCUCAGUUAACCAGAAUCUUAACCUCUAGGUAGAACAGUGUUUAUCCUACAAAGUUGAUUGAGAGUUUAUUUUAAAAGCAAAAAUACAAGAUGUCAUUCUUGCUUGGGAAUGAAAUGAAAAGGGGAAAUUUUGGGUUAAACAUUUAAAGUUUGUUAAAAAAUUCUCAUGUUUAUUAGCUAUUAGAUUUCAACUCAGUUGUCCUUUUUAGUCAUUUAGGUUCAUUCAAAGUAUGAAGAAAUAAGAUCUGAUACAUUAGCUCUUAGAAGAAUUUUUUUUUUUAUUGACUUACUAAAAGUUUGUCAAGCCAUUUCCAGGGGUAUUUUUUUUUAAUACAGAUUCUAAAAUGAUACCAUGUGAUAUCUAGUUGCAAAAAAUGAACCCCUCCCUGUUUUAGGUAACUGCUG
This 856-nucleotide long non-coding RNA is filed under the name Bos taurus (domestic cattle). Its description in RNAcentral is "long non-coding RNA NONBTAT022648". Lineage: Eukaryota; Metazoa; Chordata; Mammalia; Artiodactyla; Bovidae. The record is from RNAcentral.